This 421-nucleotide ribosomal RNA is filed under the name uncultured bacterium. Its description in RNAcentral is "bacterial SSU rRNA". It matches the Rfam family "Bacterial small subunit ribosomal RNA", at positions 355 to 775 of the family's 1533-position model. The record is from RNAcentral.
UCGAGAAUCUUCGGCAAUGGGCGCAAGCCUGACCGAGCGACGCCGCGUGCGGGAUGAAGGCCUUCGGGUUGUAAACCGCUGUCGUAGGGGAGGAAGGCUCCGUGCAGAACGGAGUUUGACCGAUCCUAGGAGGAAGGGCCGGCUAAUCUCGUGCCAGCAGCCGCGGUAAUACGAGAGGCCCAAACGUUAUUCGGAAUUACUGGGCUUAAAGAGUUCGUAGGCGGCGCAGAAAGUAGGGUGUGAAAGCCCUCGGCUCAACCGAGGAAUUGCGCCCUAAACUACUGUGCUUGAGGAACCUAGAGGUGAGCAGAACUGAUGGUGGAGCGGUGAAAUGCGUUGAUAUCAUCAGGAAUACCGGAGGCGAAGGCGGCUCACUGGGGGUUUUCUGACGCUGAGGAACGAAAGCCAGGGGAGCGAACGG